RNAcentral lists this ribosomal RNA (253 nucleotides) under uncultured bacterium. Its description in RNAcentral is "partial 16S ribosomal RNA". It matches the Rfam family "Bacterial small subunit ribosomal RNA", at positions 524 to 776 of the family's 1533-position model. The record is from RNAcentral.
UACGAAGGGGGCUAGCGUUGCUCGGAAUGACUGGGCGUAAAGGGCGCGUAGGCGACUCAUACAGUCAGAUGUGAAAUUCCUGGGCUUAACCUGGGGGCUGCAUUUGAUACGUGUGGGCUUGAGUGGGGAAGAGGGUCGUGGAAUUCCCAGUGUAGAGGUGAAAUUCGUAGAUAUUGGGAAGAACACCGGUGGCGAAGGCGGCGACCUGGUCCUUGACUGACGCUGAGGCGCGAAAGCGUGGGGAGCAAACAGG